RNAcentral lists this unclassified non-coding RNA (2250 nucleotides) under Hevea brasiliensis (rubber tree). Lineage: Eukaryota; Viridiplantae; Streptophyta; Magnoliopsida; Malpighiales; Euphorbiaceae. The record is from RNAcentral.
CACUGGAGCUGCCAAGGCUGUUGGGAAGGUGUUGCCUGCUCUUAAUGGGAAACUUACGGGAAUGGCGUUCCGUGUUCCAACUGUUGAUGUUUCUGUGGUUGACCUUACAGUGAGGCUAGAAAAGAAAGCUACAUAUGAUCAAAUUAAAACUGCUAUCAAGUGAGUACAGUUAUAUUAUGUAUGCGUGAGAAAGUUGCCAUGAGGGUGGCAUGAUGUGUUGACCUUUGUAUGGGCAAACAGGGGAUUUUUGAUAAGUUUAGAUGCUUAAAACUUUUCAAUUUGUAGCCUGCUUUAGCUGAUCUAUUUUAUUCAAUCUCAUGUUAUUUUAUUUUUGUGUAUUUAAAUAUAGGGAGGAAUCAGAGGGAAAGUUGAAGGGAAUAUUGGGCUACACUGAAGAUGAUGUGGUUUCCACAGAUUUUAUUGGUGACGACAGGUAAGGUCAAGAGCGAGCUUGCGUGCGUGCGUCCGUAGUUUGUGUGGCUUUCCCACACAGGCUUGGUACUUCAUCCUGGACUCUUGAGCUAGACUGAAAGACCGAAUUGGUGAUCUGGUCUGGUUCACUCCUCUUUUUUUUUUUUGGGGGGGAAAAAAGUGAAAUCAACCGUUGUAUUGUAGUAAAUCUGGAAUUGGAACUCUGUGAACCAAACCUAGGUUUCAUUUGGGGUUGAGGUUGGAAGUUCAAAAAAGCUCUUUUUGAAUGAGUAAUAUUUUAGAUAUACUGUUGAAAUAAAUUAUUUAGUUUUGGAAUUUUUAUAAUUAAAACUUGUUAAAUUUAAUUUUUAGUACUGUUUAAAUUAUAUAGUUAAGGAGGUUUUUCUUAUCAAUAAAUCCAACAAUGGUGUCAAAUAAACACCUAUGUGGGCCUUAUCACUGCUUGAACUUGGUAGGUAGGUAGGUAGUGGAACAACGGACAUGCGUGUCUGCACAUAUUUAUGCACACAUUUUUGUUUACCAUUGUUUCAAUUGUGAACCUCCUAUGCAUCUACGGAUUACACCAAAUAAUAGAAUGUGUGAUUUACUUAAUUUUGUAGGUCGAGUAUUUUUGAUGCCAAAGCUGGAAUUGCUUUGAAUGAAAAUUUUGUGAAGAUUGUUGCUUGGUACGACAAUGAGUGGGGCUACAGCACCCGUGUGAUCGACUUGAUCCGCCACAUCCAUAACGCAUCUACUCAGUAAGGUUGCGUAGCCACUGUAGAUGGUUCGACUUGGUUCAGUUUCUCGUUGUAUGAGGCGAAAUCAAAAUAAAUUUGUCAUAAAGAUAAUGUUUUGAGAUAGAUAUGGUAUGAUUGUCGGAGUCUAUCGCCUGGUUUUUCCUUUUGUUAGUGUCAGAGGAUGUUCAAAUUCCUCCUCCUGGGUAUGAUUAUCGUCUUGCUAGUAUGUAAGAGUUGUACCAAAACAAAACUUGAUGCUUCUCCUCCCGGCGUCUCCAACCUCUGCUCACGAGUACGUGUUUGCAGCACACGCUUGGUUUAUCAAACCACAUGAGCUUGCAUUGCACCUCUGAAUGUUAUUAUAAAUAUGUCUUCUUGUGCGGAAUGGAGACCAUUACAUUCUGUAUUUCUGUUUGAUCUGAUUGUGUGGUAUGUCGGUAUGAAAAUGUUUUAACUCUUGGGAGAUGAGUAGAGGGUGUUUUUUGUGCAUUCUUUUUAUCGAAAGCGCUGCAGUUGAAUGAGGAAAGAUGUGGUAGGGGUUUAGAAUUGAACAACAGAUGUCAAUCCCACCACGAUGGUCAUUUUGAGGAAAAAGUGUUGUGGGAUUAGUUGUGACCAUUCCAAAACGGCCAACCUAUCCUUAAUUGGGCGGGGAUUCAAUUGAACAAUAUCUAGUCCAAUUAAGCUUAACCUUGGAAAAUCAUUAUUUCUUUUUAAUUUUUCGGCCUCGAGAUUAUCAUAAACCCAAACUGGUAUUCGGAAAAAUUAGUAGAUGUAUGGGCAAAGUUGGUCAGACGAUGGAUGAGCAACUUGGUUGAGCCAUUGGUUUUUUAUUUAAACGGAAAAUUCAGAUUUAAAAUUUCCCCGGUGGCGAUCUAAAACUCCAGAUGCUCUACCAAGUUUCUGAAGGCAGAAUCAUAAAAAAGGUUGCCAUUUAUUCGGGGCUGGGAAUGAGGAAAUUUUGAGUUUUGAAAUUUAUGUAGCUGUUAUUUGUUUGGUGGGAAUUCAAUUAGAGUAUUUUCUGACUAAGUGACUUAUUGUUAAAUAGGAGCUACUGUGGGAGAGGUUUAUACUCUCAUGCAUAACUCAUUGUUUAUUAUUC